Long non-coding RNA from Zea mays, 904 nucleotides. RefSeq lists it as uncharacterized. The transcript is spliced from 4 exons. NCBI's taxonomy places the organism in Eukaryota, Viridiplantae, Streptophyta, Magnoliopsida, Poales, Poaceae. The record is from RefSeq and is a predicted model, not a curated record.
AUGAUUUCUAAUCCUCACCUUCUCUUUUCCAGUUGGGCUGCUAUUUUACCCCGUGAAGUGUGAACUCCAACCAGGCCUCUUAAGUUAGAGUUAGCUAAUAUCCCGAAUUACAGAAAAGCAGGUGGUUACACCAACAGAUAAUGAACUGAUAGUUGUUGGAGAUGGUCAUUCAGGUACCAUAUCUGUUCGUGCAGCUGGUAUCUUCCUAUAGAAUGCUUUGACCUCAGCAAAACAUAAUUUAUUUCAUCUAAGGUAAUUAUAUCAAGCAAUUGUUCUACCUGUUAAUGGGCUAACUGAUGAAAAUAUAUAUGGCUAGAGUGUUGGUCGGACAUCGGUGCUGGACCAACACAAAGGUGAUAAUCCUUUUUAAUAUAGAUUUGUGUAUGCGUGUUUUGGAUCCGGAUCCUGGAAUGAGAAGAUGAGCCGGUCCGCGUGGGCCGUGUCGCCGAACUUGGUGACGUGGCGGAAGAAGAGCACCAGGAGGCCCGAGAGGAGGUGACUAUCAUCGAAUAUGCCAUAGUUCCGGUAGAGCUACCGCUUAAACAAAUUUCUGUGAAAUUUUUAUACUCCCUGAUCCACGACAUGCAUUUCAAAGAAAUUCACAAUUCUGGUGAAAUCCCUACGUUUCAAAGACCGCUGAAACUAAAAUCAGGAGUGUGCCAACUGCACGUGUCAUGUGAAUUUCUCAAUGUUUCAGUCAGUUAUAUGCUUAUUGGUUGGGUUCGUAUCAUUUUGAGAAAAUGACUGACAUAUUUUCCUACCACCCCUGUUCUUUGCUGCUGUAACUGUCAUUUGAUUUUGUAUUUCGGGAUUGUGAUCUGGGGUGCAGAAACCUUUGCAUUGCUGGGUGAUAAGACGAUGGUGAUGUCCCCUGAAGUGCUCGUGGAUUCAGGGGUUCCCUGUU